UCUCUUUCCCUCACUAUUACGAGGCCGACACCUUCUUCCAAAAUCAGGUGGAAGGAUUGAAUCCGAAAAAGGAUCUUCAUCAAUUUCACGUCGAUCUUGAACCGCGCACUGCUACUCCGUUAAAGGUGGCGGCUCGUUCUCAAAUCAACAUUCUGAUGCAAUCUAUACCCGGGCAUUGAUGUCGUCGAAG
Molecule: long non-coding RNA, 190 nt
Organism: Daphnia pulicaria
Lineage: Eukaryota; Metazoa; Arthropoda; Branchiopoda; Diplostraca; Daphniidae
Exons: 3
Source: RefSeq, a predicted model, not a curated record